CCCACCUGGAAGGAGUCUCUGUCCUCAUUGGCGCACAGUGCUUGUAACGCCCUGUUGCCACGGCGAUACACUCAGCGAGAAGCUGAUAGGAAGAGAGUGCUGAUGUGGGCGGAGGGGGCGGAGACACAGAACAGUGCCCCACCCCCCUCUGAUGCUUCAACACAAUUGGCUAAUGCGGCCGACUCUGACCAAGAUGUUUCCCAUGAUGCCUGGAAACACCCAAACACUCCCUGCCUGUCCAAAGCCCUGCAGACAGAUGAUGAGACCCCAGCUCAGCAGGUGACCCCCGAGGACCACAGUGUGGUGACUGUAUUGAUUAAGCAUUGAUUAUUUCUGAUUUGUGUAUUUCCUGCUGGAGGCGUCGGCUCUGCUGACAGAAGUCAGAAACCUGCAGAGGGACAAAUGGCUGUUGGAACAGCAGCUGCAGGCUUGGAGGCUCACCGUCCAAUCAGAGCAGGGCAUCCUUGAGGACAGGUGUGCUGAGAUGGAGGUUACCAUGGAAACGCUCAGACAGCACAACAACCGUCUUCAGGCCAUGCUCACACAGGCUCUGAACAAGAUGGCUGCUCAGCAAGACACCAACAACUCACCACAGAGUGUCAACACCACGCUAACCUCUGAUGCUCAGAGGAACACCAACGAAGAAGAGGACGAGGAGGACGAGAAUGAGGAGGAAGACGAGGAGGAGAAUGAGGAGGAAGACGAGGAGGACGAGGACAGAACACAAACUCCAUCUCCCACAGUCUACCAGAGCUCACCUCUGACUUAUGAGGAACACUGUGAGGUGAAGGACGACAUCCAGCAUCCAGCAGGACGAGAUGGAGCUGAGAAGGCAGAGCUACAGGUGGAAGACCUGUCUGAGGGAGAGGAGGAUUGUGGGACGUGUAGUCCAGAGAAGCGGCUGCAGGAGGCUGUGAACAGGCUAAAGGCUGUGAUGGAAGUGGACAGGUGGACAGAGACACACACAGGUGUGUCUAUUGUCUAUUGA
This is a long non-coding RNA of Parambassis ranga (Indian glassy fish), 988 nucleotides long. Lineage: Eukaryota; Metazoa; Chordata; Actinopteri; Ambassidae. The record is from Ensembl.